Long non-coding RNA from Chinchilla lanigera (long-tailed chinchilla), 2172 nucleotides. The record is from Ensembl. NCBI's taxonomy places the organism in Eukaryota, Metazoa, Chordata, Mammalia, Rodentia, Chinchillidae.
GCGACGCCGGGAUUCCGCGUCCCGCGGCGCGGCGCACAGUUCCGGAGCGCGGGGAGGAAGUCGCGUGCCGUCGGGUCCGUCCCGGGGGGGGCGCGCUGGCCGCUGAGCGGUGGGGGAGGACUGGGCAGGGCCGCGGUGUUCCGGGGGUACCUGGUGGCCCCGCGCGCGAGCAUUGAUCCUGGGGGUCGGGCGUGCAGAAUGCAGACCGGAAAUGUCAAAUGAGUUGGGGUUCAAAGUAACAGAACACUUUCUAAAGUAACAAGACGGCGUUAAAAUUGAAAACAACCGCAUCUGGGAUGCUCACUGCGCGCGCACUUUCCGCUGGCGCGGUGGCCCGGCCCGGUGACCGGCGCCCGGCCCCGGGACGCCCCCCGCGGGGCAGGCGCGGGUGACGACAGGCGGAGCUUCCUCUGGGCGGUCGCAGGGCCGGACGGGACCGGGCUGGGGAGGCCUCCGGCUGUGAUGGGGCGUCGGGGUGCCCCGGAGAAUGCAGAGCAGCCACGGAUAGCAAGAAAAUAUUCCUUCCUGAAGCACAGCCGGGCCCUGGAAGCGCAGAGGACAAGGACAACCUGGAAAGAAUCCCUAGAAGAGCCAAGCGUGGUGCCGCACACCUGUAAUCCCAGCACUUGGAAGGCUGAGACAGGAGGAACACUUCGAGUUCGAGUCCAGCCUGGGCUACAAAGUGAGCUCAAGGCCAGCCUGAACUGCAUAGGGAGAUCUUGUCUCAAAAAGACAAAAAAAAAAAAAAAAGAAUCCCUAGAAGAAGGAGUCUGCAGCACCCCCAGAAACCGGGUAACAUCUUGCCCACCAUCCUCUCCCAAACAUUCUGAGAUCGAUUCUGCUUCCUGCCAGGACCCUGGCUGGCCCCAGGAAUGACUCCAGGAAACAAAGUCCCACGGCAGAGUCCUGCCCGGGUUCCUACCUGUCUGUGGGCACGGAGGGAGCAAAAGGGUGUGAGGAGCCCCCCGCGGCAGGAUUGCUCAGAUUCGCACAGCGAUGACGCCAGGGACGGAGGGAGCACACAGCUCUGGGGGUCUUACUGCUGCUAAAUGCGAUUGCUAUGGCAACAGCGAUAAUUACAAAGACUGUACAGCCACACCGCUCCUGUCUGCCCUGGGGAGUUCACAAAAAACAGAUAAGCAUGAGGUAUUAAAUUCCUGACUCAAGGCAGAGAUAUGUGAAAUUCAAAGAAUCCCUUGUCUCUGCUGCGUCGCAGGCCAGACAAGGUUCCGCUUCGGGUCCCGGAUACAAAGGUGCAGGCUGCGGUCCUGCUCAGUCUCAGCCCGCUACCUCAGCAUCUUGCGGGACGGAGGCACCGGGGGAAGGAGCAGGAUCGAUACUGUGGUGCGAACUGUCGGAUGGACACAGACAAGGCUGAUUCCCAAAUCCCGACUCUCCCUUGCCGGGGUGGGGGUGGGAGUAGAGGAUAAACGAAGGACGCCGGAAAUCCUCCUUUGUGCCUUGGGAAGAAGCCGGGGCCCUGCGGCUGGCUGCAGCGACAGUGAUCUGUAAACGCGCACGCUCGCACCUGGGGUCCCGAUGUAGUCCGUGUGUGGAGGGAGGGAGAUGUUUUGGAAAAUGCCCUGAACUAUGAAUAUAUUGUGAAUAUACUGACAACCAUGUAACACCUCAAAAGGAGGCCACCAAAAUCACAGUAACACCAAUCGUUCUGUCCAAAACAACGCGAUGACACUUUGAUUUGUAUGGAUAACCCUGAUAUGUUUAGAACAUUAAUAAUCUUAAAUGGUUUCAACUUUUUUUUUUUCAGACAGAGUCUCACCAUGCAGUAUAGACCGGCCUUGAACUCGCCAUGUCACCCAGGCUGGCCUUGAACUCACUGCGAUCCUUGGUCACGGGGAGCCAAGGAGUAGGCUGAUAAGUGUUAAGGGAUUAAUUAAGAAAUAUUCAUUGAACUGGAAAGAAAGGGUUCAAAAGAAAGGAAAAACUGUGACGGGAGAAAGGGGAGAGGAAGGAAAGGAAAAGAAAAAAAUAUAUAUAUAUACACACACACACAAUAGUUAAGGUAGUUAUACAACUAGCUUGUCUUGGUUCAUUGAAAAGAAAGUUUUGUGCUGAUACUUUUUUGGGACAAUAUUUCAUGCCUGUAUCUUGUACUCUGAACAACUACUAUGUAUUAAUUAUUGUUACUCUCCUGCUAGCCUGUUUCGAAAC